UUUUUAUGUGAGUAUAAAUCUAAAAGCUGUGAGUUCAAAGUCUUAUGAAUUCAACUCUUAAUUGCUACGACUACGAAUUCAGGUUUGUGGGUACGAGUCGAAAAGCGUUGAAAUGACGUCACUCGGGUCACAGGCAGGUCACAGGGGAAAGUGAUCGAACCGCGAUUUUCCCAACUGCGCAUGCUCCAAAUCCAAAGAUGGCUGACGACAGUGAACGUGGCGACUCAGCAUCGCAGAACAAAAGGGCCCCAGCAACAACAGUGUUACCCCAGAAGGCCUGACUGUGGGACGCAUCAUGCAGUGGACUGGACAAAGACACAAGCCUGUUCUGCCAAGCGAAAAGAAGGACUUUGCCACACAUAUGAAACUCCACCAUGACUGCGACACUGAACACACCGUUUGUUUUCCAGCUGUACAAAACCAAGGAGUUGGUGGUUGACUUCAGGAGGAACAGACCCCAUCCCACACCGGUCUCCAUCGAGGGCACGCAGGUGGAGGUGGUGAGGACGUACAAGUAACUGGGUCUGCAGAUGGAUGACAAACUGGACUGGUCAGUGCUCAUGGACACCAUCCACAGGAAGACACAGUCGUCUGUAUUUCCUGAGGAGCCUGAAGUCCAUCUGCAAAAAACUGCUGCUGAUGUUCUAGCAGACUGUGGUGGCCAGAGUCCUCUUCUAUGCUGUGGUGUGCUGGAGAGGCAGCAAGAUAAGAUCCUGUCCAUACUGGACCACGCCUCCCACCCUCUGCACAGGACUCUGAUCAGUCAGAGGAGUGUGUUCAGCACCAGGCUGCUGUCUCUGACCUGCUCCACAUCUCUGGGUACUCAGGGCUCACGAUCCCAGCGUCAGUCUGUGCCUGAGUCACAUCAGGCGUAAAAAUCACAUUUAUUUAUUGGACAUUUAUUCCACUAUGGCACCUUACCUUAUAUUGUUUUGCACAAUUAACCUGCACUUUAUAACUAAUUUCUGAGUAGC
This is a long non-coding RNA of Scatophagus argus, 974 nucleotides long. RefSeq lists it as uncharacterized. The record is from RefSeq and is a predicted model, not a curated record. The transcript has 3 exons. Lineage: Eukaryota; Metazoa; Chordata; Actinopteri; Scatophagidae.